Long non-coding RNA from Bufo bufo (common toad), 997 nucleotides. RefSeq lists it as uncharacterized. Lineage: Eukaryota; Metazoa; Chordata; Amphibia; Anura; Bufonidae. The record is from RefSeq and is a predicted model, not a curated record. The transcript is spliced from 3 exons.
AAGCUCGGCCAGCAGAGGGCUCAGCAAGGCUCGCUCGCUUCAGAUCAAUCAGCAGCCCUGGGGAGCCGAUCAUGGAGAAGCUGAAACGGACUUGAUCAAAGGGCUCCUGCUGAUCCAUGUACGCCGCGCCUGUCACCGGGGCCAUGGACUGGCCGCCCGUCUUCCCCCAGAGCCGCUCCGAGACUCCCGCGCUCUCCGGCCUAUCCUCCAGCCGGCUGAGAAGCACGCUAGUGACAGGAUGUGACCUUAUUCCACCGGCCAGCACAUCAACUCCAGGCUGGGGCUCUCCCCAGAGACUGCGGGAAGAUUUUGCUCCAUGAGCCCCCUAGAAGACCCCCGCAUCUGUACGUAUUGUCUAAAGCUCGAGGGAGACGUCGGAUAAUAUCCUGGUCCGUCUGACGAGUAAAUCUUUCUUUCCCGCGGUCUAAUGUCAUUCAUGGCCGGGAAAUGGCACGGUAUUGUGAGGCAGUGCCUCCUUUAUGCUGCCUCGUAGACAGUGUGAACUAGGUUUACAUCUCGGAUGAAUGAUUUUGUCAGCAUUAACAGCCAUUUUGUGACGUAUGGGCUCAGAGCAGCUAAUGUGACUGGAAGAGAAUAAAAGAGAGCAGAAGAUGGAUGUCAGCAAAGAGCAAUCACUGCAUAAUCUUCUCUUUAUGUAACCUGGAUGGUGGAGCAUUCACAUGCAUCACAUUCAGCUGCCGGCCUGACUUCUAUAGCAGCUAAUGGGUCAAUGCUAAUCACGCAUUUCACGUUUUCCCCCUUGUUAGAUUAAGAAGUGAAUAUUAAUAGUUCCAUGUAUAAAGCUGUGACUAGCAGUAUGUCUGAAGACAGAAAGGGCAUUGUUUUCAUUGUUACGUUCACACAGCCGAUCUGAGCAGUUCUAACAUCCGGCCGUUUCCUUGUUCUAUUCUGUGUAUAUUCUUAAAAAAAAGAUUAGAACCUAUGGAUAUUUUAGUUUGCUGGUUAUUUAAAUGCUUGAAUUUGGGUCAAGAUUUGU